This 301-nucleotide ribosomal RNA is filed under the name uncultured bacterium. RNAcentral describes it as "partial 16S ribosomal RNA". It matches the Rfam family "Bacterial small subunit ribosomal RNA", at positions 509 to 807 of the family's 1533-position model. The record is from RNAcentral.
CAGCCGCCACGGGAAUACGAAGGGUGCAAGCGUUACUCGGAAUUACUGGGCGUAAAGCGUGCGUAGGUGGUGGUUUAAGUCCGUUGUGAAAGCCCUGGGCUCAACCUGGGAAUUGCAGUGGAUACUGGGUCACUAGAGUGUGGUAAAGGAUAGUGGAAUUUCCGGUGUAGCAGUGAAAUGCGUAGAGAUCGGAAGGAACAUCUGUGGCGAAGGCGACUAUCUGGGCCAACACUGACACUGAGGCACGAAAGCGUGGGGAGCAAACAGGAUUAGAUACCCGGGUAGUCCCUGUCUCUUAUAC